AGCUUGCUACCUGACCUAGCGGCGGACGGGUGAGUAAUGCUUAGGAAUCUGCCUAUUAGUGGGGGACAACAUUCCGAAAGGAAUGCUAAUACCGCAUACGCCCUACGGGGGAAAGCAGGGGAUCUUCGGACCUUGCGCUAAUAGAUGAGCCUAAGUCAGAUUAGCUAGUUGGUGGGGUAAAGGCCUACCAAGGCGACGAUCUGUAGCGGGUCUGAGAGGAUGAUCCGCCACACUGGGACUGAGACACGGCCCAGACUCCUACGGGAGGCAGCAGUGGGGAAUAUUGGACAAUGGGCGAAAGCCUGAUCCAGCCAUGCCGCGUGUGUGAAGAAGGCCUUUUGGUUGUAAAGCACUUUAAGCGAGGAGGAGGCUACUGAGAUUAAUACUCUUGGAUAGUGGACGUUACUCGCAGAAUAAGCACCGGCUAACUCUGUGCCAGCAGCCGCGGUAAUACAGAGGGUGCGAGCGUUAAUCGGAUUUACUGGGCGUAAAGCGUGCGUAGGCGGCUUUUUAAGUCGGAUGUGAAAUCCCUGAGCUUAACUUAGGAAUUGCAUUCGAUACUGGGAAGCUAGAGUAUGGGAGAGGAUGGUAGAAUUCCAGGUGUAGCGGUGAAAUGCGUAGAGAUCUGGAGGAAUACCGAUGGCGAAGGCAGCCAUCUGGCCUAAUACUGACGCUGAGGUACGAAAGCAUGGGGAGCAAACAGGAUUAGAUACCCUGGUAGUCCAUGCCGUAAACGAUGUCUACUAGCCGUUGGGGCCUUUGAGGCUUUAGUGGCGCAGCUAACGCGAUAAGUAGACCGCCUGGGGAGUACGGUCGCAAGACUAAAACUCAAAUGAAUUGACGGGGGCCCGCACAAGCGGUGGAGCAUGUGGUUUAAUUCGAUGCAACGCGAAGAACCUUACCUGGUCUUGACAUAGUAAGAACUUUCCAGAGAUGGAUUGGUGCCUUCGGGAACUUACAUACAGGUGCUGCAUGGCUGUCGUCAGCUCGUGUCGUGAGAUGUUGGGUUAAGUCCCGCAACGAGCGCAACCCUUUUCCUUAUUUGCCAGCGGGUUAAGCCGGGAACUUUAAGGAUACUGCCAGUGACAAACUGGAGGAAGGCGGGGACGACGUCAAGUCAUCAUGGCCCUUACGACCAGGGCUACACACGUGCUACAAUGGUCGGUACAAAGGGUUGCUACCUAGCGAUAGGAUGCUAAUCUCAAAAAGCCGAUCGUAGUCCGGAUUGGAGUCUGCAACUCGACUCCAUGAAGUCGG
Molecule: ribosomal RNA, 1257 nt
Filed under: uncultured Acinetobacter sp.
Lineage: Bacteria; Pseudomonadati; Pseudomonadota; Gammaproteobacteria; Moraxellales; Moraxellaceae
Description: bacterial SSU rRNA
Rfam family: Bacterial small subunit ribosomal RNA
Source: RNAcentral